Molecule: long non-coding RNA, 260 nt
Organism: Thalassophryne amazonica
Lineage: Eukaryota; Metazoa; Chordata; Actinopteri; Batrachoidiformes; Batrachoididae
Exons: 3
Source: RefSeq, a predicted model, not a curated record
GCUUCGUUAUCAUUAUUUGUCAUGAAGCCGAACGUUAGCAUAGAGCUAACAGAUUGUUAAAAGCUUCAUUUGGAGUUGACUGAGCUACAGUGGGUCAUGAUGACUGUCUCCCGGAUGGAGAGUCUCUGCCUGGCAGCUGUACUGGAGGACUGUGCAACCCGUUUGGAUAUACUGGGACAUAUGGCAACAGCCCCAGCCAAAAGGGGGCACACUGCUGACACAGAGCAGUCUGCAGAGCAGAAGACAGUGCUAGCUAAACA